CCUACGGGGGGCAGCAGUGGGGAAUAUUGGGCAAUGGGCGCAAGCCUGACCCAGCAACGCCGCGUGAAGGAAGAAGGCUUUCGGGUUGUAAACUUCUUUUCUCAGGGACGAAGAAAGUGACGGUACCGGAGGAAUAAGCCACGGCUAACUACGGGCCAGCAGCCGCGGGAAGACGUAGGGGGCAAGCGUUAUCCGGAUUUAGUGGGUGUAAAGGGCGGGUAGGCGGGAGCGGAAGUCAGAUGGGAAAACUCAGGGCUCAACCCUGAGCCUGCAUUUGAAACGGUGUUUCUUGAGUGCUGGAGCGGCAAUCGGAAUUCCGUGUGUAGCGGUUAACUGCGUAGAUAUCCGGAGGACCCCCAGUGGCGCAGGCGGCUUGCUGGACCGUAACUGACGCUGAGGCGCGCAAGCGUGGGGAGCAAACAGGAUUAGAUACCCUGGUAGUC
RNAcentral lists this ribosomal RNA (443 nucleotides) under uncultured bacterium. Its description in RNAcentral is "partial 16S ribosomal RNA". It matches the Rfam family "Bacterial small subunit ribosomal RNA", at positions 338 to 795 of the family's 1533-position model. The record is from RNAcentral.